UACGAAGGGGGCUAGCGUUGCUCGGAAUCACUGGGCGUAAAGCGCACGUAGGCGGAUCUUUAAGUCAGGGGUGAAAUCCUGGAGCUCAACUCCAGAACUGCCUUUGAUACUGAGGAUCUUGAGUUCGGGAGAGGUGAGUGGAACUGCGAGUGUAGAGGUGAAAUUCGUAGAUAUUCGGAAGAACACCAGUGGCGAAGGCGGCUAUCGUGGACGGUUUCUGACGCUAAGACGCGAAAGCGUGGGGAGCGAACGGGG
Molecule: ribosomal RNA, 255 nt
Filed under: uncultured bacterium
Lineage: Bacteria
Description: partial 16S ribosomal RNA
Rfam family: Bacterial small subunit ribosomal RNA
Source: RNAcentral